This 408-nucleotide ribosomal RNA is filed under the name uncultured bacterium. Its description in RNAcentral is "partial 16S ribosomal RNA". It matches the Rfam family "Bacterial small subunit ribosomal RNA", at positions 28 to 526 of the family's 1533-position model. The record is from RNAcentral.
GACGAACGCUGGCGGCGUGCUUAACACAUGCAAGUCGAACGAAGUGGCGAACGGGUGAGUAACGCGUAAUCAACCUGCCCUUCAGAGGGGGACAACAUUUGGAAACGACUGCUAAUACCGCUUACUGAAGUAGUGGAUUGCUUCUGAUUAGCUCGUUGGAGGGGUAACGGCCCACCAAGGCGAUGAUCAGUAGCCGGUCUGAGAGGAUGAACGGCCACAUUUGGACUGAGAAACGGCCCAGAAUCCUACGGGAGGCAGCAGUGGGGAAUCUUCCGCAAUGGAGGAAAGUCUGAAGGAGCAACGCCGCGUGAGUGAUGACGGCCUUCGGGUUGUAAAGCUAUGUUAAUCGGGACGCGGUACCGGAAUAGAAAGCCACGGCUAACUACGUGCCAGCCGCCGCGGUAAUAC